RNAcentral lists this ribosomal RNA (332 nucleotides) under uncultured bacterium. RNAcentral's name for it is "bacterial SSU rRNA". It matches the Rfam family "Bacterial small subunit ribosomal RNA", at positions 568 to 898 of the family's 1533-position model. The record is from RNAcentral.
CGUGUAGGCGGCUCAUCAAGUCUGGUGUGAAAACGCAAGGCUUAACCUUGCGUAGGCACUGGAAACUGGUGGGCUUGAGUUCCUGAGGGGAAGCUGGGAAUUCCAGGUGUAGGGGUGAAAUCUGUAGAUAUCUGGAAGAACACCGGUGGCGAAGGCGAGCUUCUAUCAGAGGACUGACGCUGAGGCGCGAAAGCGUGGGGAGCAAACAGGAUUAGAUACCCUGGUAGUCCACGCUGUAAACGAUGUGCACUAGGCGUGGGGCCCGUACGGGUUCUGUGCCGUAGUUAACGUGUUAAGUGCACCGCCUGGGGAGUAUGCUCGCAAAGGGUGAA